CACUAAUUACCGCCAGAAUAUAUCUGCUCCUUCAACCCCAAAACAAUCAAUGUUGAAACCACAGAUUCACCACUCUCAUUCCUCAAGAACCCUCUUCCUGUUGCCCAACCCAUUCAUCCUUGGAAAUGGCCAAGCCCAUCUUCCUGUCAUUUCCAAGUCCUCCUCUACUAAAACUCUGAGAAAAAUCCGAUCAGUUGGCUAUAAACCUGGAAAUAUCAAAGCCAUAGCAAGC
This 232-nucleotide unclassified non-coding RNA is filed under the name Hevea brasiliensis (rubber tree). The record is from RNAcentral. Lineage: Eukaryota; Viridiplantae; Streptophyta; Magnoliopsida; Malpighiales; Euphorbiaceae.